Molecule: long non-coding RNA, 557 nt
Organism: Acinonyx jubatus (cheetah)
Lineage: Eukaryota; Metazoa; Chordata; Mammalia; Carnivora; Felidae
Exons: 4
Source: RefSeq, a predicted model, not a curated record
GAGGGCCGGGCGGAGACGCCUCACCCAGAGAAUUUUUCAGAAAGCUCAGAGCCAAAUUGAAUGUGAAUUGAAACCACUCUCCUGGGUUUCUGGGGUCAGGACUCUCUUCAGGUUUUCCUUCUGCAAAUUGUUGAGUACGAAAACCUUAUUUGCGGAUAUGGAGAAACUGCACGGAGAACCCUAUGAUUCUAAUCAUCUCCAGCAAGAAGAAAUGCUUUUGAAGAGACUUCCUGAAGAACCAUGAUCCUGGUAGUUGAGUCCUCGUAUGGUGAGUGAUGGGGAACAUGCAAAUUCCCUAUGUUGCUUAAACAUGUUGAAUAAAUAACAGUUGUCAAGAUGUUCCCUGGCUUCUUGGAGAGUCCCUAGUGAUGCCCACUGGAUUGCCUGGCUAUGAUCAAAGGAAGCUCUACACUUCUAGAUAGGAGGAGCUUCAGGGUAACAAUCUGGUUGAGGGUAUUUAGGGAACAUCCCCUUAAGCAAUAUUGUUAAGUUAGAAUUUAUGCUGAUUUGAGAUGGCUUGACAUUAGAAAAGGUGAUGAAGAUUACUGCGGGGGGGG